UUCAUUUUGUUCUUGACUUCUUUCAUUUUUUAUUUUUGUUUUUGUUACAAGUUAGUGUGAAUUUAUUGUGAAUUAAAAACCAAAAUAAAAAAACCAAACCGAAUUAAUAAAAACCUAAUCGAAAUAACAAAAACCGAACCGAACUGAAAUAUUUCAGUUUGGUAUUCGGCACACAAUUUACAAGAACCAAAAAUUGAAAAACCGAAAAAAAAACUGAAAUCGAACCGAAUACCAAAUGUUCACCCUAUAAUUGUAUAUAAAUGCUGAAAUUAUAUAUUUGGUUUGUAUAAGGUAUUUUGGGGAAUAAUUAGAAAUAAAAAGUACAACCAAAAAUAAAUAAAUAAACACAUAGAACUACGUACCAGAAAAUAGAAAUGGAUGUCUGUGUAUAUAAAAAUAAAUAUAGAUAUGUAUAAUAUGACAACAAAACUAUCAAAACGUAUACAAAUACUGAAAUAUAAACAAAUUGAUAUUUAUAAAUACUUGAGAUUCUUCAUAUACAAAUGAAAAAUAAAAUUAAGAAGUUUGUUGAAACACGUCUAGGCGGUUAAUUAGAAUUGAGAUGUCACGAUUAGGAGGGAGAAAAAGAGCAUUCAAAAUUCAAAUCUGGAGAAAAAUGAGGAAAGAUAAAUGUGAUUUGUAUAAAAAGGUAUGCAAAUCAUAAAGAAAGUCUUUUUUAUUUUUAAUACAAAUAAAUCUAAUGAAUCUCGAAUUUAAUAGCAAAUUUCAUUAAACUAUAGUCACGAUUCAUAAUCAUAUAAGAGGUAAAAAUUGUUCUGUUUUGCUUCACAUCAACUUUGAUUUGGUGUACCAAUUUUUCAAUGGCCUUUUGGAGUUCAUUUUUUAAGAAAUAUUUAGGUCCCUGUCAAAGCAACUCUAUAACUAUCACAACCAUCGGUUAUUGAUUUAUGGGAAAAUGAUUAAAUAUGUCCCUAAAUAAUUCGAAAGGUCUAGGUAUAUCCCGUUUAAAUUAUCAUAAUGAUGAAAUGAGUUGUUAUAUUAGAUGCUAGUUAAACAUAAGUUUAUUUCUAAAUGAAAAAAGAAGGAAAAAUAGAAGACUCACGAUAAAUAAUGAAUCGAUGAAUAAUUAGGAAUACUUCUUGCACAUGUCUGCUUCGGUAUCCCAAGUAGCCUCUUCAACCGAUUGGUUCAGUGAGGGUAUUAGAACAUUGAGGGGACUUUUUUCUAGUAUUAAAGAAUUGUAAAGGACACUCCCCCAGUGUACCAAUUAUCGUGUUCGAUCACAUGUAUAGAAUCAACUUGGCACUGGUUAUACAAUAAAUGAAAAUUCAAUCUGUAUACAAAUAUAACAUAGAGGUUUUUCAGCACUAACACAAGAUUAAUUUCAUGCACUAUCGUCUAUACUAAGCAUGUGUUGAUAACCUAAAAAUAAAGUGUUAGUGUGACAUUCUAAAUAAACUAAAGUUUGGAACAUAUGUGCAAUAUAUCAUAAAUUAAAGAGCAAACGAAAAUCACGUUAUGAUGACACUCCCAAGGAUACCCUACUUGUUGACCCCCCUGCAACUGUGUAGGAAAUUGAUCGCAAAUAUGAACAUGCAGAUUCUAGUCAUUAGGCCGAGUUUUUGACCUAAGUCAAGAAAUUGAACUAAUGCCUACAUCAACCGGUUGAUAUGUGCGAUCAAUUGCCUACUCACCUGCGGGGAUGAACUUAAGGAUUCCCUCGGAAAUGUUGUUAUUAUAAAAUGAUUGAGGUUUAUUUUUUAAUUUAUGACAUAUAGCGUAUAUGUUUCAAAUUUAGUCUAAUUAAAAUAUAUUUGGAUGUUAAAUUAUAUAUGUGCUAUCAUAAUAUAAACAGGACAAUCUGAUUUUUGUAUAUACAAUAAAAGGUAGAGUAAAGGUCUAUAUUGGCCAAUGGAUGUCAAGUUAUUGCAUUUGUUUUUCUACAUCCAGUGCCGAGUAUUAGAAUAUUGAGAGGACCUUUUCAUAUUACUAUAAGAUCAAGAAGGACACUCCUAUAAUGUAUCAAUUAUCAUUUUCGAUCAUAUGUAUAGGUUCAACUAGGUAUUGGUUAUGAAAUGAAUGAAAUUUUAAUUUAUAUACACAAAUAACACAGAUUUUUCAGCACUAACACGAGAUUAAUUACAUGUAGUUUCUUCUAUACUAAGCAUGUAUUGAUAACCUAAAAAAUAUAGUGUUAGUGUGACAUUCUAAAUAAAAUAAAUUUGGAACAUAUGUGCAGUAUAUCAUAAUUUAAAAACAAACGCAAAUCAUAUAAUGAGGACGCUCCCAAGGGUAUCCUACGUGUUGACCCCCCGCAACUGUGUAAGAAAUUGAUCGCAAAUAUGAACAUGCAGAUUCUAAUGAUUAGGCCGAGUAUUUGGCUUAAGUCAAGAACUUGAACUAAUGCCUACAAUGUACCAGUUGGUAUUUCCGAUCAAUUGCCUACUCAUAUGCUGGUGGAUCUACAUGUAGGAUACCCUUGGGUGUUGUCACCAUAAAAUGAUUGAGGUUUAUUUAUUAAUGUAUGAUAUAACUGUAUAUGUUUUAAAUUUAGUUUAAUUAGAAUAAAUUUAGAUGUUAAAUUAUAUAUGUGUUAUCAUAAUAGAUACGGGACAAUCUGAUUUUUGUAUAUAGAAUAAGAGGUUGAGUAAUCCAUAUUGGGCAAUGGAUGUCAAGCUAUUGCAAUUUUUUUUUAUUUUACAUCCAGUGCGGGUAUUAGAUCAUUGAGAGGACCUUUUCCUAGUAGUAGAGGAUCGAGAAGGACACUCUUCUAGUGUACCAAUUAUUGUGUUCGAUCACAUGUAUAGGAUCAACUGGUAUUGAUUAUCGAAUAAAUGAAAUUUCAGUUUAUAUACACUAAUAAUACAGAGAUUUUUCAGCACUAACACGAGACUAGUUACUUGUAGUAUCGUCUAUACUAAGCAUGUGUUGAUAGCCUAAAAAAUAUAGUGUUAGUGUGACAUUCUCAAUAAACUAAAUUUCGAACAUAUGUGCAGUAUAUCAUAAAUUAAAGGACAAACACAAAUCAUUUUAUAAGAACGCUCCCAAGGGUAUCUUACUUGUUGACCCCCCGCAACUGAGUAAUAAAUUGAUCGCAAAUAUGAACAUGCAGAUCCUAGUCAUUAGGCCGAGUUGUUGACUUAAGGUCAAGAACUUGAACUAAUGCCUAUAAUCUAUGGGUUGGUAUUUGCAAUCAAUUUCCUACUCACGUGUGGAUCAACAUGUAAGAUACCCUUAAGUGUAUUCAUCAUAACAUGAUUUGAGUUUUAUUUUUUAAUUUAUGAUAUAUAGCCUAUAUGUUUCAAAUUUAGUUUAAUUUGAAUUGAUUUGGAUGUUGAAUUAUAUAUGUGCUAUCAUAAUAUAUACGGGCUUCAUCUAUGUACCGUUCAAGUAUGGUACCGACCCUCCAACAUGUUCACAUAAACAAGAUUAUAGUAAUUUUUCACUCAAUUCUAGCUAUCCACGACAUAGCUACAAUCACUGUUUUUACACGACAAUACAAAAUUUCAUGAUAAGAAGAUACCCAACUCAUCUCUAUGAUGAUAUCAAAUUCACCAUAUUAAGGAUUACUGAAUUUUCCCUAGCUAAAUAACCUAUAAACAUCACAGGACAAUAAUGGUACACUUUAUCUACAAAGAUAGAGUUACCUACUAUGGUAGACACAUAAACAUGGGUAUCAAGGAAAUCAUAGACCCGUGUCUAUUUUAACCGCAAAUUUAACAGACACAUAAGAAAAAGCAGAGGCGGGAUCUAAUAAAAUAGUGGUCAUCUAGUCACACUUGAGAAAAGUACCUGUAAUAAAUGUGUGUAAUGCUUCUGCCUCUGGCCUUCCUGGAAAAGAAUAAAAUUAUGUCAUGUCGCUUGUUUGAGCACCACCCCUACCGUAAUGAGUACCUCCUCUACCAACUUAACACCUUCAGGACCUUCUGAUUAUAUUCCAUUUCUACCAGAAUGAUUGUCAUUGCAACCGCCUUAUAGACAACCUCUACCGUUCCAUCAUUUUACCUACUAGUGUGUGUUGAAUCCCCAAAAACGUAUAGAAUGACAAACAAGAAAUAUUUGUUAUAUAUGGAUCAAAUUUUCCUUAUACAAAAUUAAGGGUUACAUAUUUUUUGUAUAUAUAAGUUAAACUAUUUCCCUAACUUAAGAUUCUAUAUUGAUGAGUGUGGUAGUGGACACCCAUCUUCAUUUUUGGAUGUUAAUUCGGAUUAACUUAGUCAUCACCAAAAUUGGAACUUCCAUGAUAAAAAUACUUGAUUUGGUAUCAAAUUCUUCAUCACAAAUAAAAUCCAACUCAUUUCUUGAAUUUCUAUAGAUCAGGACGAUAUGUCAAACAAAGAAUUGUGGAGUGCCACCUUAGUGAGUCUUUAAGUAAAUACUUAAAAACAUAAUUAGACUGCUUUAAUAUAUGUUUAGUUUAUCUUCGUUCUCUAAUAAAAUACUCACUAGAGAUUUUCUUUAGUUUUUUAUUUGUUUUCUUAUACUCAUAUUGGAACACAAUUGGAAAAGUUUAUUUCUAUAUGCUCCUCCACGACAAUUAUUCAACCAUAUGAGGGAAGAAAAGCAUGCCAAUGAAUCUGAUUGAUAGGUUUUAAAAUCAAUUUAAUAAUUGAAAUCUAUCUGACCUAAAUUAUUUAACCCACCAAAAAGGAUGAGACAAAAUGGGAGGAUCUUGGGUCAAGAUAAGACAUUUAAACCUAGAAAAAGUUAACACUCUUUCAAGGAGGCAUGUCAAAGCUAUCCAUUCACUCCAAUUGAGGACCAACCUACAGGAAGACAAAAGCUAGAGAGCAAAGAAGGAAAAAUGAGAACUUGCCAAAGUGAAGAAGAAUCUCUUCAAUAGAUAAGAUUUGUCAGCAAAUUAGGAGCACAAUCCAUAUAACCUGAGAGCAGACACAACUGAAGAGGGGAAAAUGGUUAUUAGCAAGACGAUAUGGAAUAAUACAGGGACGAAGGUACUUACUCUUGUUAGCUGGCACACCAACACGAAAGAAUAGAAGUUCUGGACUGUUGAUAAUCCAUAGCAAUAGAAAUCAAAGGCUUGGAUUAGUCCAAGGCGACAACAUAUCUCAUAAGAAAAGAGGCAGAGAAAGAGGCGAGAAGCCAAAGAAGAUAGUGAGGGGAGUUUUGUUUUUUAUAAAACCCUACUUUAGAUGUCUAUAUAUCGCCCCAUCUGGUUAUGAGUUGGAC
This 5151-nucleotide long non-coding RNA is filed under the name Solanum lycopersicum (tomato). RNAcentral's name for it is "long non-coding RNA (SLYC_LNC000812)". Lineage: Eukaryota; Viridiplantae; Streptophyta; Magnoliopsida; Solanales; Solanaceae. The record is from RNAcentral.